RNAcentral lists this transfer RNA (71 nucleotides) under Minisyncoccota bacterium. Its description in RNAcentral is "tRNA-Ala". It matches the Rfam family "tRNA". Rfam says of the family: Transfer RNA (tRNA) molecules are approximately 80 nucleotides in length. RNAcentral also lists the same sequence under 1 other name. The record is from RNAcentral. Lineage: Bacteria; Bacillati; Minisyncoccota.
GGGCCCAUAGUUAAGUGGUAUAACGCGUCCAUGGCAUGGAUGAGGCCGGAGUUCAAUUCUCCGUGGGUCCA